Molecule: ribosomal RNA, 586 nt
Filed under: uncultured bacterium
Lineage: Bacteria
Description: partial 16S ribosomal RNA
Rfam family: Bacterial small subunit ribosomal RNA
Source: RNAcentral
UGGGGAAUUUUGGACAAUGGGCGAAAGCCUGAUCCAGCAAUGCCGCGUGUGUGAAGAAGGCCUUCGGGUUGUAAAGCACUUUUGUCCGGAAAGAAAUCCUUGGCUCUAAUACAGUCGGGGGAUGACGGUACCGGAAGAAUAAGCACCGGCUAACUACGUGCCAGCAGCCGCGGUAAUACGUAGGGUGCAAGCGUUAAUCGGAAUUACUGGGCGUAAAGCGUGCGCAGGCGGUUUGCUAAGACCGAUGUGAAAUUCCCCGGGCUCAACCUGGGAACUGCAUUGGUGACUGGCAGGCUAGAGUAUGGCAGAGGGGGGUAGAAUUCCACGUGUAGCAGUGAAAUGCGUAGAGAUGUGAGGAAUACCGAUGGCGAAGGCAGCCCCCUGGGCCAAUACUGACGCUCAUGCACGAAAGCGUGGGGAGCAAACAGGAUUAGAUACCCUGGUAGUCCACGCCCUAAAACGAUGUCAACUAGUUGUUGGGGAUUCAUUUCCUUAGUAACGUAGCUAACGCGUGAAGUUGACCGCCUGGGGAGUACGGUCGCAAGAUUAAAACUCAAAUGAAUUGACGGGGUCAUAGCUGUUUCCU